Molecule: ribosomal RNA, 253 nt
Filed under: uncultured bacterium
Lineage: Bacteria
Description: partial 16S ribosomal RNA
Rfam family: Bacterial small subunit ribosomal RNA
Source: RNAcentral
UACGUAGGGGGCAAGCGUUGUCCGGAAUCAUUGGGCGUAAAGCGCGCGUAGGCGGCCCGAUCAGUCCGCUGUAAAAGUCCAGGGCUCAACCCUGGAAAGCCGGUGGAUACUGUCGGGCUAGAGUCCGGAAGAGGCGAGUGGAAUUCCUGGUGUAGCGGUGAAAUGCGCAGAUAUCAGGAAGAACACCCGUGGCGAAAGCGGCUCUCUGGAACGGUACUGACGCUGAGACGCGAAAGCGUGGGGAGCGAACAGG